This 995-nucleotide ribosomal RNA is filed under the name uncultured bacterium. RNAcentral describes it as "bacterial SSU rRNA". It matches the Rfam family "Bacterial small subunit ribosomal RNA", at positions 356 to 1376 of the family's 1533-position model. The record is from RNAcentral.
GGGGAAUAUUGCACAAUGGGGGAAACCCUGAUGCAGCGACGCCGCGUGGAGGAAGAAGGUCUUCGGAUUGUAAACUCCUGUUGUUGAGGAAGAUAAUGACGGUACUCAACAAGGAAGUGACGGCUAACUACGUGCCAGCAGCCGCGGUAAAACGUAGGUCACAAGCGUUGUCCGGAAUUACUGGGUGUAAAGGGAGCGCAGGCGGGAAGACAAGUUGGAAGUGAAAUCCAUGGGCUCAACCCAUGAACUGCUUUCAAAACUGUUUUUCUUAAGUAGUGCAGAGGUAGGCGGAAUUCCCGGUGUAGCGGUGGAAUGCGUAGAUAUCGGGAGGAACACCAGUGGCGAAGGCGGCCUACUGGGCACCAACUGACGCUGAGGCUCGAAAGUGUGGGUAGCAAACAGGAUUAGAUACCCUGGUAGUCCACACCGUAAACGAUGAUUACUAGGUGUUGGAGGAUUGACCCCUUCAGUGCCGCAGUUAACACAAUAAGUAAUCCACCUGGGGAGUACGACCGCAAGGUUGAAACUCAAAGGAAUUGACGGGGGCCCGCACAAGCAGUGGAGUAUGUGGUUUAAUUCGACGCAACGCGAAGAACCUUACCAAGUCUUGACAUCCUGCGACGAUGCUGGAAACAGUAUUUUCCUUCGGGACGCAGAGACAGGUGGUGCAUGGUUGUCGUCAGCUCGCGUCGUGAGAUGUUGGGUUAAGUCCCGCAACGAGCGCAACCCUUAUGGUCAGUUACUACGCAAGAGGACUCUGGCCAGACUGCCGUUGACAAAACGGAGGAAGGUGGGGAUGACGUCAAAUCAUCAUGCCCUUUAUGACUUGGGCUACACACGUACUACAAUGGCGUUAAACAAAGAGAAGCAAGACCGCGAGGUGGAGCAAAACUCAGAAACAACGUCCCAGUUCGGACUGCAGGCUGCAACUCGCCUGCACGAAGUCGGAAUUGCUAGUAAUCGUGGAUCAGCAUGCCACGGUGAAUACGUUCCCG